GAUGAAGAACGUAGCGAAAUGCGAUAAGUAAUGCGAAUUGCAGAAUUUCCGUGAGUCAUCGAAUCUUUGAACGCACAUUGCGCCCACUGGUAUUCCGGUGGGCAUGCCUGUUCGAGCGUCAUUUAAACCUUCAAGCUAAGCUUGGUGUUGGGUGACUGUCCGCUUCACGGCGGACUCGCCUCAAAAUUAUUGGCGGCCGGUACAUUGGCUUCGAGCGCAGCAGAAACGCGAACUCGGGCCCGUCGUAUUGGCUCCCAGAAGCUAUCUUCACAAUUUUGACCUCGGAUCAGGUAGGGAUACCCGCUGAACUUAAGCAUAUCAAUAAGCGGAGGA
Molecule: unclassified non-coding RNA, 333 nt
Filed under: soil metagenome
Description: partial contains 5.8S ribosomal RNA, internal transcribed spacer 2, and large subunit ribosomal RNA
Rfam family: 5.8S ribosomal RNA (bases 1-121)
Source: RNAcentral